GAAAGCUUGCUUUCUUGCUGACGAGUGGCGGACGGGUGAGUAAUGCUUGGGAAUCUGGCUUAUGGAGGGGGAUAACGACGGGAAACUGUCGCUAAUACCGCGUAUUAUCGGAAGAUGAAAGUGCGGGACUGAGAGGCCGCAUGCCAUAGGAUGAGCCCAAGUGGGAUUAGGUAGUUGGUGGGGUAAAUGCCUACCAAGCCUGCGAUCUCUAGCUGGUCUGAGAGGAUGACCAGCCACACUGGAACUGAGACACGGUCCAGACUCCUACGGGAGGCAGCAGUGGGGAAUAUUGCGCAAUGGGGGGAACCCUGACGCAGCCAUGCCGCGUGAAUGAAGAAGGCCUUCGGGUUGUAAAGUUCUUUCGGUAUUGAGGAAGGUUGAUGUGUUAAUAGCACAUCAAAUUGAC
This 406-nucleotide ribosomal RNA is filed under the name Haemophilus influenzae. RNAcentral's name for it is "bacterial SSU rRNA". It matches the Rfam family "Bacterial small subunit ribosomal RNA", at positions 74 to 473 of the family's 1533-position model. The record is from RNAcentral. Lineage: Bacteria; Pseudomonadati; Pseudomonadota; Gammaproteobacteria; Pasteurellales; Pasteurellaceae.